This 208-nucleotide ribosomal RNA is filed under the name uncultured bacterium. RNAcentral describes it as "partial 16S ribosomal RNA". It matches the Rfam family "Bacterial small subunit ribosomal RNA", at positions 568 to 774 of the family's 1533-position model. The record is from RNAcentral.
CUCGUAGGCGGUUCGUCGCGUCCGGUGUGAAAGUCCAUCGCUUAACGGUGGAUCUGCGCCGGGUACGGGCGGGCUGGAGUGCGGUAGGGGAGACUGGGAAUUCCCGGUGUAACGGUGGAAUGUGUAGAUAUCGGGAAGAACACCAAUGGCGAAGGCAGGUCUCUGGGCCGUUACUGACGCUGAGGAGCGAAAGCGUGGGGAGCGAACA